ACUGCGGAGGAUCAUUAACGAGUCUUUGAAGUGGGUUUGACGCUGGCCUCAACCAGGCAUGUGCUCGCCCCGCUCCAAUCCACUCAACCCCUGUGCACUUCAUGUUCGAAGAUGUGACUUCCCCCGUGAGGGGAGCAGCUCGGGAGACCGAGCCGGAGUCGCUCUUUGGGCACACAUACACACAAACUCUUAUGUACCUGAAUGUAUACAAGGCCUACGGGCUUUAAACUCAAUAAAUACAACUUUCAACAACGGAUCUCUUGGCUCUCGCAUCGAUGAAGAACGCAGCGAAAUGCGAUAAGUAAUGUGAAUUGCAGAAUUCAGUGAAUCAUCGAAUCUUUGAACGCACCUUGCGCUCCUUGGCAUUCCGAGGAGCAUGCCUGUUUGAGUGUCAUGAAUUCAUCAACCCCGUAGGGAUUUUUGUCCUUCUCGGUGGCUUGGACUUGGGGGAUCCUUUGCUGGCCUUCACCGGUCGGCUCCCCUUGAAUGCAUUAGCUUGGACUUGUCCCGGCGACGUCAUAGCGUGAUAACUAUCUACGCUUUGAACCGUCUGUUGGUACCUAGUCGGUCUGGCUUCCAAUCGUCCUCGGACAAUACACCAUUCAUUUUGACCUCCAAAUCAGGUAGGACUACCCGCUGAACUUAAGCAUAUCAAAGAAUUUGCCUUAUAACUGUUGCUUUUGCUGUCCUGAGCUAACUUUACUUUCUGGGGGGCCACAGCUGCGGGAAAUGAAAUUGACACCGCCUGUAACUCCCACGGGCUUGAGUAUCCUACUCCGGAACGGAGCUUCGUGAAGUGGGCAAUACCGUGUGAGAAGUCCGAUCAAACCAACAUAUGGCAAAGUCUGUAGAAUCCUACGUGGUUAGAGUACGGAGUAAGAAUCGUUUCUAAAUUCCGGCGGACGCCAACGUGCCGCACCG
This is a ribosomal RNA of 921 nucleotides. The stretch from base 241 to 394 matches the Rfam family "5.8S ribosomal RNA".